This 3318-nucleotide ribosomal RNA is filed under the name Triticum aestivum (bread wheat). RNAcentral describes it as "partial small subunit ribosomal RNA". The record is from RNAcentral. Lineage: Eukaryota; Viridiplantae; Streptophyta; Magnoliopsida; Poales; Poaceae.
AUGUCCUUGGAAUCGGAAGCCGAUGUCAUAAAAAGUUCAGGCCAGAACAAGUCAAACCCAAUUAACCCCAACAAUAUACCUGAUGUUGAUGUUGUGGAAAUAAAAGAUGCAAAUGAAAGAUAUAUUGAUGCUUAUGUCCGUCUAUCUGACAAUGCACCUCUUUGGCGGCUUACGUGUGUCUAUGGGGAACCACGGUUUGAAAAGAGGCACCACAUGUGGUCACUCAUGCAAAACCUUAAAACACAGUCAGAACUCCCUUGGUGUGUUAUUGGUGAUUUUAAUGAGGCCCUUUGGUCGUUUGAGCACUUCUCGGCCUCUCAGAGGAGUGAAAGUCAGAUGCUAGCCUUCCGUGAUACUCUGGAAUUAUGUGAACUCAUUGAUCUUGGGUUCUCAGGUCUACCUUUCACUUAUGAUAAUAAACGCAGAGGAAGGAGGAAUGUAAAAGUAUGGUUGGACAGGGCAGUUGCAGAUAACAAAUGGAGAGACAUUUUCUCUGAAUCUAGGGUGGUCCACCAACUCCCCGUCGCCGGCCAUCUCGGGCCACCUCCUCCCCCGCCGCCGGCCAUACCUUCCGCGGCAGCCGCCGGCCGUCUGCGCCCCGUCUGCGCCUCACCCGCGCCCGGCAGAAGCCGCAGCAGCUGCUCACUGCAACUGUUGCUUCCCUGCAGCGACGCGGCCCAGCUCGCGCCCGUGCCCGCAGCCGCCCAUAGGUGCCGCCCCGAGCUGCCUCCGCCCACGGCCGCUGCUGCUGGCUCCGUGCAGCGCCCGGCCGCCGCCGGGACUCCGCCCGGCCUGCGCCCGGCUGCCUCCUGGCCAGUGCCCAGCCGCGCCCGGCGGGUGGUGCCUUGGGGCUGCCUCUGUCGCGCCCUGCCGGCCGGUGAGGUCCCGAUCUCGAUCCCGCUCUGGGCGUUGACCUCGUUCCAAAGAAAAAAGAAAAAAAGGAAAGAAGUAGAAGAAGAAGGCGCGUGCGCUCCUCAUGGCUUCUUCGGGCUAUGUUGCUGUUCCUCGGUGCUCGGUGAUCUUCGAUGGAACAAUGCCGAGUUCGUGGGUUUUAUGCGCAUCCAUAUGCGUGGCCUCCUUCUGUGGGGCGUUCUCUCUGGCGAGGUCCCCUGUCCGCCGUGCCCGGUGCCUCCCGUGACUCCUGUGCCACCAGUGCCACCUAUUCUUGCUGCUGAUGCAUCUCAGGCUGAUCGGGAUGCCGCUAAGGCCCUUGAUGACGCUGCAGUUGAUGCUUAUGAUCAGCAGGUAUCAGCUUAUUCCGCUGCAUUUUCCGUUUACCGUGAGGAUCUGACUGCUUACACUCAGUGGUACAAUGAUGAUGCUCGGGCUGCUGCUGUUCUCACCGGCAGUGUUCUCCCUCAGUUUGCGUCCGAGUUCAUGGGCCUCGGCACAGUUGCAGCAAUGUGGUCGUUUCUCUAUCAACGCUAUCAGCCAUCUGGUGAUGCCCUGUAUUUGUCAGUGGUGCGUCAGGAGCAUGCUCUUCAGCAAGGUGACUCGUCUAUUGACGAGUUCUACACUCAGUGUUCUGCUAUUUGGCGUCAGCUAGAUUCUCUUCGCACAGUUGUUUGUGGAACUUGCCAUUGCUGUCAGACUACCAGGGCCGAUUUGGAUUUUCAGCGUGUCCAUGAGUUUUUAUCUCGCCUCCGCACCGAGUUUGAGCCUAGGCGUGCCCACUUACUUGCUCGUGGUCGUGUUCCUAUCACCGAGGUGCUUGCUGAGCUUCGUUCUGAGGAGACCCGUCUUCGCUCUGCUGGGUUAAUUGUGGUUCCUUCUGUCCUGGCUGCCAGGGCUCCUGUAUCGGUUGCUUGUCCCACCGCUCCGCCACUCCUGCCCACACCUUCAGGGGGGGUCAGUCGCCCUCCUUAUACUGAGAGGGGCCGGUCACGGCGUGACAUGCUUGCACGACAAGCGUGGCGACUUUUGGAGCGACCUGAUUUUCUGUGUGCCAUGGUGCUCAGAGCAAGGUAUUACCUCAAUGGUUCGCUGGUUGAUACGGUUUUUGCAAGCAACGCUUCUUCUUCAUGGCAUGCCAUACAAUAUGGUCUGGAGCUACUCCGAAAGGGAAUUAUCUGGCGUGUUGGGAACAGCGAGCUCAUUCGGGUCUGGCAAGACCAUUGGAUUCCCAGGCCCACCUCUUAUAGGCUAAUCACUCCAAGACGCAAUAGUCGAAUACGACGUGUUGCUGAACUUCUGGAUAACAAUGGCAGGUGGAACCAGGAGCUAGUCCGACAAAACUUCAUGAUGAUGGACGCCCAGGAGAUUUUGAAGAUCAAGGCAUCGCCACGACGUCUUGAUGAUGUACUGGCUUGGGCGCCCGAUCCACGCGGUAUCUUCACCGUGCGAUCUGCGUAUCGCUUGGCUUUGGAGGAGCAAACCUGCACAACCAUGUGUGCCACGAACAGGACACCGGACGGCAACCGCGCCGUCUGGAAGAUAGUGUGGGGGUGCCCUGCUCCCCCAAAGCUAUGGCGAGCGAUGAAUGAGCAAGUCUAUAUGCCAAACAUUGAAGAAGUGGUCAAUACGGGGCCAGAGUGGCUGCUUCACUUGCUGUCCAACAGUGAUAAACAGCAGCAUCUACCACUGCUGGUGACAAUGUGGAGAAUAUGGCAUGUUAGGAACGAGAUCACGCACCAUAAGAAGCCCCCGCCAGUCCAUGUAUCGACGCGUUUUUUAUGCAGCUACAUUGAGUCCCUGAUGUGCCUACAGCAACACCCUCAUGGGGAUCUCGAGAAGGGGAAGAUGGUGGCCACAUAUGAUAACACGAGACUGAGAAAGAAGGAGCAGAAACAGCAGGAGGACCACAUCAGUGGAAGACCACCAGAUAGGUGGAUCAAGCCCCCAACUGGGUGGAACAAGCUAAAUGUGGAUGGGGCCUUUGCCAUGGAGACAAGCACUGGAGGUGCCGGUAUGAUCCUCCGUGAUGAGGAUGGAGCAAUCGUCUUCGCAUCGAGUCGCCACCUGUAUACUUGCGCUAGCCCGGUUGAAGCGGAACUGGCGGCUUGCAUGGAGGGAAUUGCCUUGGCUUAUGAAUGGAGUUCCAAGCCGUUCAUCGUCGAGACAAAUUCCCAAGUGUCAAUCAACAUGAUCAAGCAAAUGGAGAGUGACCGCUCACCAUCGGCGGCCAUUGUCGGCGAAAUAAAGAGUUUACUCGCCCAGGGUGGAGAGUACUCAGUAGUACAUGUGCAUCGUGGAUGUAAUACUGUAGCUCAUCGCUUUGCUCAGAUUGGACAUCACCACAUGCGCACGGCUGUUUGGCUUAGAUCUGGACCGAGUGAGAUUGAUUUGCUUCACCGUCAUGAUUGUAAUCCUCAAGGUUAA